GUGAACGCUGGCGGUAGGCCUAACACAUGCAAGUCGCACGGCAGCACAGUAAGAGCUUGCUCUUACGGGUGGCGAGUGGCGGACGGGUGAGGAAUACAUCGGAAUCUACUUUUUCGUGGGGGAUAACGUAGGGAAACUUACGCUAAUACCGCAUACGACCUACGGGUGAAAGCAGGGGAUCUUCGGACCUUGCGCGAUUGAAUGAGCCGAUGUCGGAUUAGCUAGUUGGCGGGGUAAAGGCCCACCAAGGCGACGAUCCGUAGCUGGUCUGAGAGGAUGAUCAGCCACACUGGAACUGAGACACGGUCCAGACUCCUACGGGAGGCAGCAGUGAGGAAUAUUGGACAAUGGGCGCAAGCCUGAUCCAGCCAUACCGCGUGGGUGAAGAAGGCCUUCGGGUUGUAAAGCCCUUUUGUUGGGAAAGAAAAGCAGCAGGUUAAUACCCCGCUGUUCUGACGGUACCCAAAGAAUAAGCACCGGCUAACUUCGUG
RNAcentral lists this ribosomal RNA (491 nucleotides) under uncultured bacterium. Its description in RNAcentral is "partial 16S ribosomal RNA". It matches the Rfam family "Bacterial small subunit ribosomal RNA", at positions 29 to 507 of the family's 1533-position model. The record is from RNAcentral.